UACAGAGGUCUCACGCGUUGUUCGGAUUCAUUGGGCGUAAAGGGUGCGUAGGUGGCGCUGUAAGUCGGGUGUGAAAUUUCGGAGCUUAACUCCGAAACUGCAUUCGAUACUGCGGUGCUUGAGGACUGGAGAGGAGACUGGAAUUCAUGGUGUAGCAGUGAAAUGCGUAGAGAUCAUGAGGAAGACCAGUGGCGAAGGCGGGUCUCUGGACAGUUCCUGACACUGAGGCACGAAGGCCAGGGGAGCAAACGGG
RNAcentral lists this ribosomal RNA (253 nucleotides) under uncultured bacterium. RNAcentral describes it as "partial 16S ribosomal RNA". It matches the Rfam family "Bacterial small subunit ribosomal RNA", at positions 524 to 776 of the family's 1533-position model. The record is from RNAcentral.